GAUUUGGCACUGCGUUAAGAGAAUUUAACCUGAUUGGGUACGAACGCAUACCCUGACACACCCCUGACCUUCACGCAGUGGAGGUUGCUUGCGUGAAGGUCAGGGGUGUGUCAGGGUAUGCGUUCGUACCCAAUCAGGUUAAAUUCUCUUAACGCAGUGCCAAAUCACU
RNAcentral lists this microRNA precursor (169 nucleotides) under Trypanosoma vivax Y486. The record is from RNAcentral. Lineage: Eukaryota; Euglenozoa; Kinetoplastea; Trypanosomatida; Trypanosomatidae.